Molecule: ribosomal RNA, 448 nt
Filed under: uncultured bacterium
Lineage: Bacteria
Description: bacterial SSU rRNA
Rfam family: Bacterial small subunit ribosomal RNA
Source: RNAcentral
CCCAGACUCCUACGGGAGGCAGCAGUGGGGAAUAUUGCACAAUGGGGGAAACCCUGAUGCAGCGACGCCGCGUGAGUGAAGAAGUAUUUCGGUAUGUAAAGCUCUAUCAGCAGGGAAGAAAAUGACGGUACCUGAUUAAGAAGCCCCGGCUAACUACGUGCCAGCAGCCGCGGUAAUACGUAGGGGGCAAGCGUUAUCCGGAUUUACUGGGCGUAAAGGGAGCGUAGACGGCAGCGCAAGUCUGAAGUGAAAUGCCGCGGCUUAACCCCGGAACUGCUUUGGAAACUGUGCAGCUAGAGUGAAGGAGAGGUAAGUGGAAUUCCUAGUGUAGCGGUGAAAUGCGUAGAUAUUAGGAGGAACACCAGUGGCGAAGGCGGCUUACUGGACUGUAACUGACGUUGAGGCUCGAAAGCGUGGGGAGCAAACAGGAUUAGAUACCCUGGUAACC